Molecule: non-coding RNA, 2614 nt
Organism: Camelina sativa (false flax)
Lineage: Eukaryota; Viridiplantae; Streptophyta; Magnoliopsida; Brassicales; Brassicaceae
Source: RefSeq, a predicted model, not a curated record
UCGUAAAUAUGAAAAUGUUUCUAAUUUUUUUUUCCUUUGUAAGCAUAAAUGGUCGUCAUCAUCUUUUGUCUGUCGUUCUCUUUCUCUAUCUCUUAGAGGAAACCAGAUAAUGAAGAUUUGAAUAAAACAUCCCUUCCUCUCGUGUUGCUUUCUUCUAAUUUGUAAUUUUUCUCUAUAUUUCCUCACUUGGCUAGAAUUCAAUUGAAUUGAAUUGGAACAUGAGCUAAAAGAUGGAAUCGGAUCUGGGGAAGUUCUUCGUUGGUGGAAUUUCGUGGGCUACAGAUGAAGAAAGCUUAAGCGACUAUUUUAGCAACUAAUGUGAUGUUGAGCAGUUGUGAUCAUGACAGAUCGUGCCACUGGACAUAGUCGUGGUUUUGGUUUUAUUGGGAGAUCGUGCCACUGGACGUGCUUGUGUUGCUGAGAGAGUCAUCACGGUCGAGAAAGACAUCAACAAUGGUUAAAAAUUUCGAUUUUUUCCCCUUUGAUUACUGAAUCUGUGAUUUGUUGUUUGAUCAUACAGUACGAAUCAGCAAUUAACGAAGAUAGGUUGUUAUUUGUAGAUUUAUUGAAGACAACGGGAGAUUGUACAUAUAGAUUUUAUACUAUGUCACGGAAGUGAAGCUUUAAAUUGGAAAUCAAAUAGAUAUGUAAGAGAAUACAAACUUGAUGUCAUAGCUUGUAGAUUAUCUUUAUGAUAGAGUCUACACCAUAGUUCUCCUACAUAUAGGGCAAUUAUGGUUCACAUACAACCAUGGAAUUAUACACUCAUGGUGAUAGAUGUGUUUGCAAUUGUGAUUGUUGAUAUCAUUGCGUCCUUUGAAUGUUUGUAGACAGAUGGUGCACUCUUCAUUUUCUUCUUCUGCGGUUGGUUGUCUUUUGGAAGUCUCUAACUCACCAAUGAGGACGUCCGUGUCUAAUCUGGAAUUGGCAUGGAGGUUGUAAUCUGUAAUUGUCAAAGUUAAAAGAAUUGACCUACCUGUUGGAGGUUCUGUCAUUCGCACUGCAUCAAAGAAUUGGAUGAACCUUGAAGUCAUUCUUGUUGCGUCGUUUUCUUCAAUCUCAUGAUACGAUAGAAGAUAGAGAAGGUUUCUGCUCAAGGUUUGCAAGGUAGGUCCUCCACCAUUAGGGGUGUAAGGGAUGCGUAUGCUUAUGUCGUUUUGAUUCAUGUUUGGUCUUCUGAUAAUGAUGGCGAUUUCAUUGGAUGUUUGAAUGUUAGUACUGAAAGUUUGGAAUGAAAAAGUAGAUAUGAUAUUUGUGGUAUCUGCCACGGUUUUUUUGGUAGCUAUUUGGUGUUUUUGGGGUUGCUCUUUGCAUCAGAGAGUCUGUUUAUAUAUACUUGAGUGGAGUCGCUUGGAGUUCUAUGGUCGGUAUGGUUUUUUUUUUUCUUCUUAUCUUGUUUCUUCGUUGCAUUACAAUGUUUGUUUAUCUAUAUGUGGCCAUAGUCGUUUGGAGUCUUCAGUUUUGUGUAGGUUACUGUUGGUUUUUGGAAUUCCUUCUUCAUUAUUUGCUGUGAGUUUUAUAUUCUCAUUGAAUUUUGUUGAUGCGUUUUCUUUUUGUAGUUUAAUAGUCCUUCUUAGCUACUGAAUUUAAGAUCCUAUACUGGGGGAACUGGGGAAACCCAUCCGACUAAAGGAAAGCUUUUUUGGAGAAGAUAAGGUUUCUUAUGUUCGUUUGUUUAUGUUUUAUGGCCGGUUUUUUGUCUUUAGUUUUGGUCAAUUAUGUUUUUUAGAUUUUAUUAUGGGGCUUUUAUUUGUAAUGCUGGAGGCCCAUUGUGUUGGAGGGUAGAACUACUGGAUUUAAGAUAAUUGUUUGUAGUUUUGGUUAAUUAUGUUUUUUAGAAUUUUUUACGGGCCUUUAAUUUGUAAGGCUGGCGGCCCAUUGUUUUGGGGUAAGAUCUAUUUUGAGGUUUACUGUAUGAUGAGCCAAAUUAAUUAACCUUAGAGUAAAGCAAUACCACAUAUAAUUUGAAACGUGAAUUUCAUUUUUCAAGUGAGAAGCAAAUUACUAAAACAAAAUGGAGCCACGUCGAAGUAUAUCUUGGUACCUAACAAAAAUGAGACGAAGUGUUCACUUUAGCCAGGCAAAUAGUGCAGGCUUCACUUUCUUCAGAUUUUGUUGGUUGUCUUUUGGAGUUCUCCAGAUCCGCAAUGAGUACAUCGGUGUCGAUUCUGGUAUUUGCAUGGAAGGUGUAAUCUGUGACUGUAAAAUAUAUAACAAUAAACCUACCUCUUUGAUGUUCGGUUCUUUGAACUGCAGUAAGUAAUUGGAGGAACCUUGUUGCCAUGCUUGCUGCCACGUUCUCAUCAAUUUCAUGAUAUGUUAGAAGAUAGUGGAGGUUGCUUCUCAAGGUUGGUGGUGUAGGGUUGCUGCCGUUUCGACUGUAAGGGAUGUGGAUGAUGAUGUGGUUUGGAUCGGUGUUUGGCCUUAUGAUGGUGAAAAUGAUUUCAUUGGAUCUUUGCGUAGUAGAGCUGAUAGUUUCAUAUUGAAAAGUACAUUGGAGAUUUUGUGCAUCUCCCAUGUUUUGGGUUUUGAUUUUUGUUUUUCUUAUUAUAUUUGUUCGUUGCAUUACAGUGUUUGUUUAUAUAUAUGUGGCCAUAGUCGUUUGGAGUCUUCA